CUUGCUGACUCUUCAUGUAGGCUGUCUCCUCCAUCCCUCACUUCCAUAGGCGUGCGCACGGGGUGUGUUGGGUGUGCCUGGGCACACCCUAAUCCCUGCGGCACACCAAUGGAUUGAGACCGGCAGGGGAGAUCUCUGGAUCUCCCAGGUCGGCUCAUGCAGAGCCGACGCUAUCCGAGCGGCGGCUCUGGUCUAAGCCUCCAUGGGCCGGUGGGGAGAUCAAAGUUCUACCUCACCGGUCCACAGCAGCAUGGAGGGAGGCAGCAGAGAACCCGGGCUAGAGUUCACUCUCCACUGAACCACCAGGGAAGGCAGCAGGACUGGGAUAUUAACUAAUCUGCCCCCACUUCCACCCAAACAUACAGCACACACACACACAGC
Molecule: long non-coding RNA, 381 nt
Filed under: Pelobates cultripes (western spadefoot toad)
Lineage: Eukaryota; Metazoa; Chordata; Amphibia; Anura; Pelobatidae
Source: RNAcentral